GACGUAGGGCGCGAGCGUUGUCCGGAUUUAUUGGGCGUAAAGAGCUCGUAGGCGGCUUGUCGCGUCGUCCGUGAAAACCUGCGGCUCAACUGCAGGCUGGCGGUCGAUACGGGCAGGCUGGAGUUCGGUAGGGGAGACUGGAAUUCCUGGUGUAGCGGUGAAAUGCGCAGAUAUCAGGAGGAACACCGGUGGCGAAGGCGGGUCUCUGGGCCGAUACUGACGCUGAGGCGCGAAAGCUAGGGGAGCAAACGGG
This 253-nucleotide ribosomal RNA is filed under the name uncultured bacterium. Its description in RNAcentral is "partial 16S ribosomal RNA". It matches the Rfam family "Bacterial small subunit ribosomal RNA", at positions 524 to 776 of the family's 1533-position model. The record is from RNAcentral.